GAUCAUGGCUCAGGACGAACGCUGGCGGCGUGCUUAACACAUGCAAGUCGAACGAAGAGCGAUGGAAGCUUGCUUCUAUCAAUCUUAGUGGCGAACGGGUGAGUAACGCGUAAUCAACCUGCCCUUCAGAGGGGGACGAACAGUUGGAAACGACUGCUAAUACCGCAUACGAUCUAAUCUCGGCAUCGAGGAUAGAUGAAAGGUGGCCUCUACAUGUAAGCUAUC
Molecule: ribosomal RNA, 225 nt
Filed under: uncultured bacterium
Lineage: Bacteria
Description: partial 16S ribosomal RNA
Rfam family: Bacterial small subunit ribosomal RNA
Source: RNAcentral